Molecule: ribosomal RNA, 638 nt
Filed under: uncultured Actinomycetes bacterium
Lineage: Bacteria; Bacillati; Actinomycetota; Actinomycetes
Description: bacterial SSU rRNA
Rfam family: Bacterial small subunit ribosomal RNA
Source: RNAcentral
CGCGGCCUAUCAGCUUGUUGGUGAGGUAACGGCUCACCAAGGCAUUGACGGGUAGCUAGUCUGAGAGGACGAAUAGCCACACUGGGACUGAGACACGGCCCAGACUCCUACGGGAGGCAGCAGCAGGGAAUCUUGCACAAUGGACGAAAGUCUGAUGCAGCGACGCCGCGUGGGGGAUGAAGGCCCUAGGGUCGUAAACCCCUUUCAGUGGGGACGAAACUGACGGUACCCACAGAAGAAGGUCCGGCCAACUACGUGCCAGCAGCCGCGGUAAGACGUAGGGACCGAGCGUUGUCCGGAAUUAUUGGGCGUAAAGAGCUCGUAGGCGGUUGCGUAAGUCGGAUGUGAAAACUCGAGGCUCAACCUCGAGACGCCAUCCGAUACUGCGCUGACUUGAAUCCAGUAGGGGAGUGUGGAAUUCCUGGUGUAGCGGUGAAAUGCGCAGAUAUCAGGAGGAACACCUAUGGCGAAGGCAGCACUCUGGGCUGGUAUUGACGCUGAGGAGCGAAAGCAUGGGUAGCAAACAGGAUUAGAUACCCUGGUAGUCCAUGCCGUAAACGGUGGGCACUAGGUGUGGGGACUUUCAACGGUUUCCGUGCCGAAGCUAACGCAUUAAGUGCCCCGCCUGGGGAGUACGG